UACGUAGGGGGCAAGCGUUGUCCGGAUUUAUUGGGCGUAAAGAGCGUGUAGGCGGCCAGGUAGGUCCGUUGUGAAAACUCGAGGCUCAACCUCGAGACGCCGAUGGAAACCAUCUGGCUAGAGUCCGGAAGAGGAGAGUGGAAUUCCCGGUGUAGCGGUGAAAUGCGCAGAUAUCGGGAAGAACACCCGUGGCUAAGGCGGCUCACUGGCCCGAUACUGACGCUGAGGCACGAAAGCGUGGGGAGCAAACAGG
This 253-nucleotide ribosomal RNA is filed under the name uncultured bacterium. Its description in RNAcentral is "partial 16S ribosomal RNA". It matches the Rfam family "Bacterial small subunit ribosomal RNA", at positions 524 to 776 of the family's 1533-position model. The record is from RNAcentral.